GCCUUCCCUCAUCAACUUUAAGCUUAGACUGUUAAAACGUUCACGAGAAUACUGUCUCGAUGCUUUUCUCCAGUCCGUACCAGCCUUCAUCAUCGCAGCAAAUUCCUCAUAACUAAUCCGACCAUCCUUGUCUGUAUCAACGUCAUGCAUAAUGGCAUUGGUGACUUCCUCGCUGUUGCUGUCGUCUUCAUCCCUCAAAGCACUACGAAGCUCUUCGAUUUCUAUGAAACCACUCUGAUUUUUGUCGAAAAAUGAAAAUGCUUUGUGCAGGUGUUCAUCAUUGGCCAUCUUUCUAAGAUGAAUAGAUACAGCAACAAACUCUGGAUAAUUUAAACUUCCAUCUCCAUCAACGUCAGCCGCUUCCAUGAGAAUAUGAAGAUCAGCAUCAGGGAUUUGAUGGCCAAGCUUCUGCAAGCCAUCUUUAAGUUCAUUCAGGUUUAUCUUGCCCUUCUUUCCGGUAUCCAUCAUUUCAAAUGCUUCCUUCAUUCCAGCGACUUCCUCCGCAGACAAAAACUCAGCUAUAACCGUCAGAGCUUUUUUCUUGAGCUUGUUCAUUACUGAAAACUGCUUGAGUCUUGCUUUAACAGUCUCACCCA
This 596-nucleotide unclassified non-coding RNA is filed under the name Hevea brasiliensis (rubber tree). Lineage: Eukaryota; Viridiplantae; Streptophyta; Magnoliopsida; Malpighiales; Euphorbiaceae. The record is from RNAcentral.